UAGCGCGGUGGUCCCACCUGACCCCAUGCCGAACUCAGAAGUGAAACGCCGUAGCGCCGAUGGUAGUGUGGGGUCUCCCCAUGCGAGAGUAGG
This 93-nucleotide ribosomal RNA is filed under the name Salmonella enterica subsp. enterica serovar Kentucky. RNAcentral also lists the same sequence under 1 other name. The record is from RNAcentral. Lineage: Bacteria; Pseudomonadati; Pseudomonadota; Gammaproteobacteria; Enterobacterales; Enterobacteriaceae.